UCAAGACUGUAGAUUCCAGAUAAAUGUUGAUUCAUUUUAACUAUUUUUUAGCCUCGUUGCUUGUUGCAGGUCCCGUGUGCCUGAGUCCUCCGCCCACAUGAGGAAUAUUUCUCGCUGAAAAAGGAAGGAAACAAGUGAUUAGAUGAUUUCACGUUUAGUUUUUUCAGAGAUUCUUUAGGGAAUGGAGAUCAGUUUCAUGGAUGACAUCCCAGUUUUCUCAUCAU
This 224-nucleotide long non-coding RNA is filed under the name Sus scrofa (pig). RNAcentral's name for it is "lncRNA (ENSSSCG00015040963.1)". Lineage: Eukaryota; Metazoa; Chordata; Mammalia; Artiodactyla; Suidae. The record is from RNAcentral.